RNAcentral lists this ribosomal RNA (253 nucleotides) under uncultured bacterium. Its description in RNAcentral is "partial 16S ribosomal RNA". It matches the Rfam family "Bacterial small subunit ribosomal RNA", at positions 524 to 776 of the family's 1533-position model. The record is from RNAcentral.
UACGAGGGGUCCUAGCGUUGUUCGGAAUCAUUGGGCGUAAAGGGUGUGUAGGUGGCUAUGUAAGUCAGGUGUGAAAGCCCCGGGCUCAACCCGGGAAGUGCAUCUGAUACUGCGUAGCUUGAGUACCGAAGAGGAUAGUGGAAUUCCAGGUGUAGUGGUGAAAUACGUAGAUAUCUGGAGGAACACCCGUGGCUAAGGCGGCUCUCUAGUACGGUACUGACGCUGAGACGCGAAAGCGUGGGGAGCGAACAGG